AUUGAACGCUGGCGGCAUGCCUUACACAUGCAAGUCGAACGGCAGCGCGGACUUCGGUCUGGCGGCGAGUGGCGAACGGGUGAGUAAUGUAUCGGAACGUACCAUUGAGUGGGGGAUAACGUAGCGAAAGUUACGCUAAUACCGCAUAUUCUCUCCGGAGGAAAGCAGGGGACCGCAAGGCCUUGCGCUCUUUGAGCGGCCGAUAUCAGAUUAGCUAGUUGGUGGGGUAAAAGCUCACCAAGGCGACGAUCUGUAGCGGGUCUGAGAGGAUGCUCCGCCACACUGGAACUGAGACACGGGCCAGACUCCUACGGGAGGCAGCAGUGGGGAAUUUUGGACAAUGGGGGCAACCCUGAUCCAGCCAUGCCGCGUGAGUGAAGAAGGCCUUCGGGUUGUAAAGCUCUUUCGGCCGGGAAAAAAUCGCAUGGAUUAAUACUCUGUGUGGAUGAUGGUACCGGAAUAAGAAGCACCGGCUAACUACGUGCCAGCCGCCGCAGUAA
This 500-nucleotide ribosomal RNA is filed under the name uncultured bacterium. Its description in RNAcentral is "partial 16S ribosomal RNA". It matches the Rfam family "Bacterial small subunit ribosomal RNA", at positions 30 to 523 of the family's 1533-position model. The record is from RNAcentral.